GACGAACGCUGGCGGCGUGCUUAACACAUGCAAGUCGAACGAUGAAGCCGGAGCUUGCUCUGGUGAAUUAGUGGCGAACGGGUGAGUAACACGUGAGUAACCUGCCCUUGACUCCGGGAUAACUGCUAGAAAUGGUAGCUAAUACCGGAUACGACCCUCGGAGGCAUCUCCAGGGGGUGGAAAGAAUUUCGGUCAAGGAUGGACUCGCGGCCUAUCAGCUAGUUGGUGAGGUAAUGGCUCACCAAGGCGACGACGGGUAGCCGGCCUGAGAGGGUGACCGGCCACACUGGGACUGAGACACGGCCCAGACUCCUACGGGAAGCAGCAGUGGGGAAUAUUGCACAAUGGGCGCAGGCCUGAUGCAGCAACGCCGCGUGAGGGAUGACGGCCUUCGGGUUGUAAACCUCUUUUAGUAGGGAAGAAGCGAAAGUGACGGUACCUGCAGAAAAAGCACCGGCUAACUACGUGCCAGCAGCCGCCGCCG
This 484-nucleotide ribosomal RNA is filed under the name uncultured bacterium. Its description in RNAcentral is "partial 16S ribosomal RNA". It matches the Rfam family "Bacterial small subunit ribosomal RNA", at positions 28 to 523 of the family's 1533-position model. The record is from RNAcentral.